GUACACGCUGUGACUAGCAUAUCAAUAAGCGGAGGAAAAGAAACUAACAAGGAUUCCCUUAGUAACGGCGAGUGAAGCGGGAAGAGCUCAAAUUUGAAAUCUUAAGGGGUUUCCCUUUACGAAUUGUAGUUUAAAGAAGUGUUUUCUGUUGAGGUUUUGGUAAAAGUUCUUUGGAAUAGGACAUCAUAGAGGGUGAGAAUCCCGUAUUUGACCUUUACUUUCAACUUUGUGAUACACUUUCAAAGAGUCGGAUUGUUUGGGAAUGCAGUCCAAAAUGGGUGGUAAAUUUCAUCUAAAGCUAAAUAUUGGCGAGAGACCGAUAGCGAACAAGUACCGUGAGGGAAAGAUGAAAAGAACUUUGAAAAGAGAGUUAAACAGUACGUGAAAUUGUCAAAAGGGAAGCGUUUGACACCAGUGUUGUUUUUCUGAAAAUCAAUUAAAGAACUGUUUAUGCUAAGCUGUUUAGACUUUAUCAGCUAUCUGUUUAGUUUUGAGCUUUUCUUUAAUGCACUUUUCAGUUAACAAGUCAACAUCAAUUUCUUUUGCUGUAAAAAAGCUUGAGGAAGGUGGCUUGAGAUUCGUCUUAAGUGUUUAUAGCCUCUUGCCUAUGCAGUCGGAGAGAUUGAGGUCUGCAGCGUAGAUCCUUCGGGGCUAAAUGCAUUUGUGCUAAGUUAUAGCAUUUUAUAGACAACUUGUUGACUAUGAUUUGUCUUGUAGCUUACUCGCUUAUGUUAUUUUACCUACGCUUAGGAUGUUGAUAUGCAUGACUGAUAU
RNAcentral lists this ribosomal RNA (774 nucleotides) under uncultured Neocallimastigales. Its description in RNAcentral is "partial large subunit ribosomal RNA". It matches the Rfam family "Eukaryotic large subunit ribosomal RNA", at positions 22 to 640 of the family's 3401-position model. The record is from RNAcentral. Lineage: Eukaryota; Fungi; Neocallimastigomycota; Neocallimastigomycetes; Neocallimastigales.